UAGCUACAGGCUUAACACAUGCAAGUCGAGGGGAAACGACAUCGAAAGCUUGCUUUUGAUGGGCGUCGACCGGCGCACGGGUGAGUAACGCGUAUCCAACCUGCCCAUCACUUGGGGAUAACCUUGCGAAAGUAAGACUAAUACCCAAUGACGUCUCUAGAAGACAUCUGAAAGGGAUUAAAGAUUUAUCGGUGAUGGAUGGGGAUGCGUCUGAUUAGCUUGUUGGCGGGGUAACGGCCCACCAAGGCGACGAUCAGUAGGGGUUCUGAGAGGAAGGUCCCCCACAUUGGAACUGAGACACGGUCCAAACUCCUACGGGAGGCAGCAGUGAGGAAUAUUGGUCAAUGGGCGAGAGCCUGAACCAGCCAAGUAGCGUGCAGGAUGACGGCCCUAUGGGUUGUAAACUGCUUUUAUAAGGGAAUAAAGUGAGUCUCGUGAGACUUUUUGCAUGUACCUUAUGAAUAAGGACCGGCUAAUUCCGUGCCAGCAGCCGCGGUAAUACGGAAGGUCCGGGCGUUAUCCGGAUUUAUUGGGUUUAAAGGGAGCGUAGGCCGGAGAUUAAGCGUGUUGUGAAAUGUAGACGCUCAACGUCUGCACUGCAGCGCGAACUGGUUUCCUUGAGUACGCACAAAGUGGGCGGAAUUCGUGGUGUAGCGGUGAAAUGCUUAGAUAUCACGAAGAACUCCGAUUGCGAAGGCAGCUCACUGGAGCGCAACUGACGCUGAAGCUCGAAAGUGCGGGUAUCGAACAGGAUUAGAUACCCUGGUAGUCCGCACGGUAAACGAUGGAUGCCCGCUGUUGGUCUGAAUAGGUCAGCGGCCAAGCGAAAGCAUUAAGCAUCCCACCUGGGGAGUACGCCGGCAACGGUGAAACUCAAAGGAAUUGACGGGGGCCCGCACAAGCGGAGGAACAUGUGGUUUAAUUCGAUGAUACGCGAGGAACCUUACCCGGGCUUGAAUUGCAGAGGAAGGAUUUGGAGACAAUGACGCCCUUCGGGGCCUCUGUGAAGGUGCUGCAUGGUUGUCGUCAGCUCGUGCCGUGAGGUGUCGGCUUAAGUGCCAUAACGAGCGCAACCCCUCUCCUUAGUUGCCAUCAGGUCAAGCUGGGCACUCAGGGGACACUGCCACCGUAAGGUGUGAGGAAGGUGGGG
Molecule: ribosomal RNA, 1150 nt
Filed under: uncultured bacterium
Lineage: Bacteria
Description: bacterial SSU rRNA
Rfam family: Bacterial small subunit ribosomal RNA
Source: RNAcentral